This is a long non-coding RNA of Eriocheir sinensis (Chinese mitten crab), 1647 nucleotides long. RefSeq lists it as uncharacterized. The record is from RefSeq and is a predicted model, not a curated record. NCBI's taxonomy places the organism in Eukaryota, Metazoa, Arthropoda, Malacostraca, Decapoda, Varunidae. The transcript is spliced from 3 exons.
GGUGUGAAACUAGAUAAAUACUCUGCAGUGUUGGGUGUGAAACUAGAUAAAUACUCUGCAGUGUUGGGUGUGAAACUAGAUAAAUACUCUGCAGUGUUGGGUGUGAAACUAGAUAAAUACUCUGCAGUGUUGGGUGUGAAACUAGAUAAAUACUCUGCAGUGUCGGGUGUGAAACUAGAUAAAUACUCUGCAGUGUUGGGUGUGAAACUAGAUAAAUACUCUGCAGUGUUGGGUGUGAAACUAGAUAAAUACUCUGCAGUGUUGGGUGUGAAACUAGAUAAAUACUCUGCAGUGUUGGGUGUGAAACUAGAUAAAUACUCUGCAGUGAAGGGUGUGAAACUAGAUAAAUACUCUGCAGUGUUGGGUGUGAAACUAGAUAAAUACUCUGCAGUGUUGGGUGUGAAACUAGAUAAAUACUCUGCAGUGUUGGGUGUGAAACUAGAUAAAUACUCUGCAGUGUUGGGUGUGAAACUAGAUAAAUACUCUGCAGUGCCGGGUGUGAAACUAGAUAAAUACUCUGCAGUGUCGGGUGUGAAACUAGAUAAAUACUCUGCAGUGUCGGGUGUGAAACUAGAUAAAUACUCUGCAGGGACGGGUGUGAAACUAGAUAAAUACUCUGCAGGGACGGGUGUGAAACUAGAUAAAUACUCUGCAGUGACGGGUGAAAGACUAGAUAAAUACUCUUGCAUAACCCGACAGGACAGAGACAGAAGAGGCAGCAGGGACAGAGGAAGCAGCAGGAUCAGCAGAAGGGGUUGAGUAGGUAAGGAAGCAUAGUUUAAAUAAGGAAGUAAGGAAGCAUAAUUUAAAUAAGGAGGUAAAUAAGGACGGUAAGGAAGCAUAAUUUAAAUAAGGUAAAUAAGGACGGUAGGGAAGCAUAAUUUAAAUAAGGAGGUAAAUAAGGACGGUAAGGAAGCAUAAUUUAAAUAAGGUAAAUAAGGACGGUAAGGAAGCAUAAUUUAAAUAAGGUAAAUAAGGACGGUAAGGAAGCAUAAUUUAAAUAAGGAGGUAAAUAAGAACGGUAAGGAAGCAUAAUUUAAAUAAGGAGGUAAAUAAGGACGGUAAGGAAGCACAAUUUAAAUAAGGAGGUAAAUAAGAACGGUAAGGAAGCAUAAUUUAAAUAAGGAGGUAAAUAAGGACGGUAAGGAAGCAUAAUUUAAAUAAGGAGGUAAAUAAGGACGGUAAGGAAGCAUAAUUUAAAUAAGGAGGUAAAUAAGGACGGUAGGGAAGCAUAAUUUAAAUAAGGAGGUAAAUAAGGACGGUAGGGAAGCAUAAUUUAAAUAAGGAGGUAAAUAAGGACGGUAGGGAAGCAUAAUUUAAAUAAGGAGGUAAAUAAGGACGGUAAGGAAGCAUAAUUUAAAUAAGGAGGUAAAUAAGGACGGUAGGGAAGCAUAAUUUAAAUAAGGAGGUAAAUAAGGACGGUAGGGAAGCAUAAUUUAAAUAAGGAGGUAAAUAAGGACGGUAAGGAAGCAUAAUUUAAAUAAGGAGGUAAAUAAGGACGGUAAGGAAGCAUAAUUUAAAUAGGACCAAAAGGAACAGCCUAUGACCCCCUCGAGGCGGCCAUAUGGACCACUCCUGCUCUUCCCUUUCCUUCAAGCAGCCAUGGAGUUAAUUCUUUUAUGCUGGGAGUAAGUUAACCAAGGCAAC